AUGAACAACUAUGUGAAAUAUUGAAUGUAAUGGAAUGAAAUUCCGGGUACUAAACAAAUGAACGGAUGUGUUAAUAUAGGCGUAAAGGAAGAGGGCUCAGGUUCUAAGAAGUCGGAAAGCUCACAAGACAAAGGUAAAUCCUCAUCUUAGACUAUAUGGCGAGUUGAAGCGAGCACGUGAUCACCACUUAACAUAUCAAGCGCUUCCGCUAGUUGCUUAAAUGUUUUGGGUCAAAUAAUUGUGAAAGUUUGUCUAAACUUGUUAGUAGAUGUGUUGGUCAAAAUUUAUGCUUUCUUGGACUUUCUUUGCGUCUAGUCGUAAGGGUCAUGGUAUAUUUUGUAUGAAA
Helianthus annuus (common sunflower) is the source of this 346-nucleotide long non-coding RNA. RefSeq lists it as uncharacterized. The transcript has 2 exons. The record is from RefSeq and is a predicted model, not a curated record. Lineage: Eukaryota; Viridiplantae; Streptophyta; Magnoliopsida; Asterales; Asteraceae.